This 316-nucleotide long non-coding RNA is filed under the name dengue virus type 1. RNAcentral's name for it is "Dengue virus 1 partial sfRNA1". The stretch from base 233 to 304 matches the Rfam family "Flavivirus DB element". The record is from RNAcentral. Lineage: Riboviria; Orthornavirae; Kitrinoviricota; Flasuviricetes; Amarillovirales; Flaviviridae.
AAGAAGUCAGGCCGGAUUAAGCCAUAGUACGGUAAGAGCUAUGCUGCCUGUGAGCCCCGUCUAAGGACGUAAAAUGAAGUCAGGCCGAAAGCCACGGCUUGAGCAAACCGUGCUGCCUGUAGCUCCAUCGUGGGGAUGUAAAAACCUGGGAGGCUGCAACCCAUGGAAGCUGUACGCAUGGGGUAGCAGACUAGUGGUUAGAGGAGACCCCUCCCGAAACAUAACGCAGCAGCGGGGCCCAACACCAGGGGAAGCUGUACCCUGGUGGUAAGGACUAGAGGUUAGAGGAGACCCCCCGCAUAACAAUAAACAGCAU